CAGACGGGUGAUUAACGCGUGAGAAUCUGCCCUUAGGACGGGGACAACAUCUGGAAACGGCUGCUAAUACCCGAUGUGCCGAUAGGUGAAACAUUUUAUGGCCUGAGGAUGAUCUCGCGUCUGAUUAGCUAGUUGGUGGGGUAAGGGCCUACCAAGGCGACCAUCAGUAGCUGGUCUGAGAGGAUGAUCAGCCCCACUGGGACUGACACACGGCCCAGACUCCUACGGGAGGCAGCAGUGGGGAAUUUUCCGCAAUGGGCGCAAGCCUGACGGAGCAAGACCGCGUGCGGGAGGACGGCCUAUUGGUUGUAAACCGCUUUUGAUAGGGAAUAAGUUCUGACGGUACCUAUCGAAUCAGCAUCGGCUAACUCCGUGCCAGCAGCCGCGGUAAUACGGAGGAUGCAAGCGUUAUCCGGAAUUAUUGGGCGUAAAGCGUCCGUAGGUGGUUGUUCAAUCUGCUGUUAAAGCGUGCGGCUUAACCGCAUACCAGCAGUGGAAACUGGGCGACUAGAGUGCGGUAGGGGUCAGGGGAAUUCCCAGUGUAUCGGUGACAUGCGUAGAUAUUGGGAAGAACACCGGUGGCGAAGGCGCCUGACUGGACCUGCGCUGACACUGAGGGACGAAAGCUAGGGGAGCGAAAGGGAUUAGAUACCCCUGUAGUC
Molecule: ribosomal RNA, 662 nt
Filed under: uncultured cyanobacterium
Lineage: Bacteria; Bacillati; Cyanobacteriota
Description: bacterial SSU rRNA
Rfam family: Bacterial small subunit ribosomal RNA
Source: RNAcentral